Molecule: ribosomal RNA, 253 nt
Filed under: uncultured bacterium
Lineage: Bacteria
Description: partial 16S ribosomal RNA
Rfam family: Bacterial small subunit ribosomal RNA
Source: RNAcentral
UACGAAGGGGGCUAGCGUUGCUCGGAAUCACUGGGCGUAAAGCGCACGUAGGCGGACUCUUAAGUCGGUGGUGAAAUCCUGGAGCUCAACUCCAGAACUGCCUUUGAUACUGGGAGGCUCGAGUCCGGAAGAGGUGAGUGGAACUGCGAGUGUAGAGGUGAAAUUCGUAGAUAUUCGCAAGAACACCAGUGGCGAAGGCGGCUCACUGGUCCGGUACUGACGCUGAGGUGCGAAAGCGUGGGGAGCAAACAGG